CACCCCUCAAGCUAUGCUUGGUGUUGGGCGUCUGUCUCGCCUCCGGCGCGGACUCGCCUUAAAAUCAUUGGCGGCCUGUGUAUUUGGGCUACGAGCGCAGCAGAUUCGCGCCUCGACCCGCGUCACUGGCAUCCAGUAAGCGAAAAACCAUAG
RNAcentral lists this unclassified non-coding RNA (153 nucleotides) under uncultured Pleosporales. Its description in RNAcentral is "sequence contains ITS2". The record is from RNAcentral. Lineage: Eukaryota; Fungi; Ascomycota; Dothideomycetes; Pleosporales.